Molecule: transfer RNA, 68 nt
Filed under: Marmota monax (woodchuck)
Lineage: Eukaryota; Metazoa; Chordata; Mammalia; Rodentia; Sciuridae
Description: tRNA.Ala
Source: RNAcentral
GGAUUAUGGCUCAGUGGUAGAGUACUUGUUCAGCACACAUGAGGCCUUGGGUUCAAUCCUCAGCACCA